This 612-nucleotide ribosomal RNA is filed under the name Enterobacter sp. AaD41c. Its description in RNAcentral is "bacterial SSU rRNA". It matches the Rfam family "Bacterial small subunit ribosomal RNA", at positions 27 to 627 of the family's 1533-position model. Lineage: Bacteria; Pseudomonadati; Pseudomonadota; Gammaproteobacteria; Enterobacterales; Enterobacteriaceae. The record is from RNAcentral.
GAUUGAACGCUGGCGGCAGGCCUAACACAUGCAAGUCGAACGGCAGCACAGAAGAGCUUGCUCUUUGGGUGGCGAGUGGCGGACGGGUGAGUAAUGUCUGGGAAACUGCCCGAUGGAGGGGGAUAACUACUGGAAACGGUAGCUAAUACCGCAUAACGUCGCAAGACCAAAGUGGGGGACCUUCGGGCCUCACACCAUCGGAUGUGCCCAGAUGGGAUUAGCUAGUAGGUGGGGUAACGGCUCACCUAGGCGACGAUCCCUAGCUGGUCUGAGAGGAUGACCAGCCACACUGGAACUGAGACACGGUCCAGACUCCUACGGGAGGCAGCAGUGGGGAAUAUUGCACAAUGGGCGCAAGCCUGAUGCAGCCAUGCCGCGUGUAUGAAGAAGGCCUUCGGGUUGUAAAGUACUUUCAGCGGGGAGGAAGGCGAUGCGGUUAAAUAACCGGGUCGAUUGACGUUACCCGCAGAAGAAGCACCGGCUAACUCCGUGCCAGCAGCCGCGGUAAUACGGAGGGUGCAAGCGUUAAUCGGAAUUAUGGGGCGUAAAGCGCACGCAGGCGGUGUGUCAAGUCGGAUGUGAAAUCCCCGGGCUUAACCUGGGAACUGAUUC